UCGGUGGUCGGUGAGCAGUAGAUGGGCCGGUUGCUCCAGGUAGAAGUCAGACCCACCGUGUGGUCACUGUGCAUGUGGGACAGGAAAAACAGCCGUGUGCCUGGACACUUCCGCACCUGCCAGAAGUCCACGGCCAGCGGGGUGUGCGGGAUGACUUUCCCGUUGACUGACAUUGUCUACAGUUUGCUGGAUAUGCAACAACUACCAGUGCAACAGCUGUCGUCCUGAUCUCUGAACCACAUCGCCACCUGGAGGAGUAACCGUGGUAGACCCAUAGGUGAACUCCGUUGCCGUACAAAAACAUCUAAAUGUAGAAGAAGAUGGCGCCAAGAGAGAGGAAGCAGUUUCGAUUUUUGUUGAAAUAGAAAAUGUGUCCAUUGACAUUUAUUUAUAAAUAUCCCACAAAUUGAGAAAAUAUAAAAAUAUUCUUAAACACAUGGUAAACGUUAACAUUACACUAUCGUUAUUUCAUCCAAAUAAUAACGUAAAAAUAUGUUUUGAACCUGUUGUGGAAACUUUCACUCGUCAACAAUCUGGAGAUGUAAUACAAAUAAUAAAGUUGGUUCGAUGCAAA
This is a long non-coding RNA of Gymnodraco acuticeps, 574 nucleotides long. RefSeq lists it as uncharacterized. NCBI's taxonomy places the organism in Eukaryota, Metazoa, Chordata, Actinopteri, Perciformes, Bathydraconidae. The transcript has 3 exons. The record is from RefSeq and is a predicted model, not a curated record.